ACUCUACCGCCGCCACAUGGCUUCCGCAACAGGUUCUGAAUUGACUCCAACACGACCAAUGCGGGCGUAAAAUUCCAGGCUUUGAUGUCAUUUAACUUUAGUAGGACUGCUUCAGCCGAUUUGGAGUAUCUGGAAAGAUUGUGUUGUAAUUGCUAAAGACUUCUGGUGGAACGCUGUCAAUUGGUUUUUCUGUUACGAAGAUUACAUGUUUGUUCCCAGUAGCAUAUCGUAUGGCGGUCUGCAAAAAAAGUAAAAAUUUUAUUAUGAUAUUUAAGAAUCCUCUAUUUUAAUAGCAUGAUUGACAUUUGACCAUACAACCACGUACAACAAAAUUGCACCAAAAGGCUACCUAUCACGCCAAAUACAUUGAAAAUGCUCGUAAUACGAAUAGCCUAUGAAACCAUUUUAAUCAUCUAGAUUGAUAAUAUAUAUCACGAUAAAGAAGAACUUGUUGCCAAUCCCCAUACAUUCAAUUUUCUUUCUUUACUUUAACACGAUAUUUAUUAUGAUAAAUGGCUUAACCUGAAAAGGUUCAGUUGAGUUUGAAUGGGCUUUCAUCGGAUGUCUAGUUCAAAAAUUUUCAUGAUUAUAAUAUACCGAAUCACGAA
Long non-coding RNA from Armigeres subalbatus, 608 nucleotides. RefSeq lists it as uncharacterized. The transcript is spliced from 2 exons. The record is from RefSeq and is a predicted model, not a curated record. Lineage: Eukaryota; Metazoa; Arthropoda; Insecta; Diptera; Culicidae.